RNAcentral lists this ribosomal RNA (554 nucleotides) under uncultured bacterium. RNAcentral describes it as "partial 16S ribosomal RNA". It matches the Rfam family "Bacterial small subunit ribosomal RNA", at positions 355 to 900 of the family's 1533-position model. The record is from RNAcentral.
UAGGGAAUCUUCGGCAAUGGGGGCAACCCUGACCGAGCAACGCCGCGUGAGUGAAGAAGGUUUUCGGAUCGUAAAGCUCUGUUGUAAGUCAAGAACGGGUGUGAGAGUGGAAAGUUCACACUGUGACGGUAGCUUACCAGAAAGGGACGGCUAACUACGUGCCAGCAGCCGCGGUAAUACGUAGGUCCCGAGCGUUGUCCGGAUUUAUUGGGCGUAAAGCGAGCGCAGGCGGUUUGAUAAGUCUGAAGUUAAAGGCUGUGGCUCAACCAUAGUUCGCUUUGGAAACUGUCAAACUUGAGUGCAGAAGGGGAGAGUGGAAUUCCAUGUGUAGCGGUGAAAUGCGUAGAUAUAUGGAGGAACACCGGUGGCGAAAGCGGCUCUCUGGUCUGUAACUGACGCUGAGGCUCGAAAGCGUGGGGAGCGAACAGGAUUAGAUACCCUGGUAGUCCACGCCGUAAACGAUGAGUGCUAGGUGUUGGAUCCUUUCCGGGACUCAGUGCCGCAGCUAACGCAUUAAGCACUCCGCCUGGGGAGUACGACCGCAAGGUUGAAAC